RNAcentral lists this unclassified non-coding RNA (322 nucleotides) under uncultured fungus. RNAcentral's name for it is "partial contains 5.8S ribosomal RNA, internal transcribed spacer 2, and large subunit ribosomal RNA". The stretch from base 1 to 52 matches the Rfam family "5.8S ribosomal RNA", at positions 103 to 154 of the family's 154-position model. Lineage: Eukaryota; Fungi. The record is from RNAcentral.
AACGCACCUUGCGCCCUUUGGUAUUCCGAGGGGCAUGCCUGUUUGAGAGUCAUUAAAUUCUCAACCUUACAAAUUUUUGUAUUUGUCAAGGCUUGGAUGUGAGAGUUGCUGGUUAGAGUAUAUUCUGACUGGCUCUCUUUAAAACUAUUAGUAGGACAUGUAGAAAUGCCUACGGUUGGUGUGAUAAUAUGUCUACGCCUAUACCGGAAGGGGAUUCUAGCUUGUAUGUACUACUUAUAAAAUCAUGCGCAUAUAUCUAGCAUAUAAGUGCAUAUAUUGACCAUUUGACCUCAAAUCAGGUAGGACUACCCGCUGAACUUAA